GGAACACGUGGGUGACCUACCCAUCAGAGGGGGAUAACACUUGGAAACAGGUGCUAAUACCGCAUAACAGUUUAUGCCGCAUGGCAUAAGAGUGAAAGGCGCUUUCGGGUGUCGCUGAUGGAUGGACCCGCGGUGCAUUAGCUAGUUGGUGAGGUAACGGCUCACCAAGGCCACGAUGCAUAGCCGACCUGAGAGGGUGAUCGGCCACACUGGGACUGAAACACGGCCCAGACUCCUACGGGAGGCAGCAGUAGGGAAUCUUCGGCAAUGGACGAAAGUCUGACCGAGCAACGCCGCGUGAGUGAAAAAGGUUUUCGGAUCGUAAAACUCUGUUGUUAGAGAAGAACAAGGACGUUAGUAACUGAACGUCCCCUGACGGUAUCUAACCAGAAAGCCACGGCUAACUACGUGCCAGCAGGCGCGGUAAUACGUAGGUGGCAAGCGUUGUCCGGAUUUAUUGGGCGUAAAGCCAGCGCAAUCGGUUUCUUAUGUCUGAUGUGAGAGCCCCCCGCUCAGCCGGGGAGGGUCAUUGGAAACUGGGAGACUUGAGUGCUCAAGACGACACUGGAAUUCCAUGUGUAGCKUUGAAAUGCGUAGAUAUAUGGAGGAACACCMGUGGRGGAGGGCGGCUCUCUGGUCUGUAACUGACGCUGAGGCUAGAAAGCGUGGGGAGCAAACAGGAUUAGAUACCCUGGUAGUCCACGCCGUAAACGAUGAGUGAUAAGUGUGGGAGGGUUUCCGCCCUUCAGUGCUGCAGCAAACGCAUUAAGCACUCCGCCUGGGGAGUACGACCGCAAGGUUGAAACUCAAAGGAAUUGACGGGGGCCCGCACAAGCGGUGGAGCAUGUGGUUUAAUUCGAAGCAACGCGAAGAACCUUACCAGGUCUUGACAUCCUUUGACCACUCUAGAGAUAGAGCUUUCCCUUCGGGGACAAAGUGACAGGUGGUGCAUGGUUGUCGUCAGCUCGUGUNGUGAAGAUGUUGGGUUAAGUCCCGCAACGAGCGCAACCCUUUUUGUUAGUUGCCAUCAUUUAGUUGGGCACUCUAACGAGACUGCCGGUGACAAACCGGAGGAAGGUGGGGAUGACGUCAAAUCAUCAUGCCCCUUAUGACCCGGGGUACCCCCGUGGUACAAUGGGAACUACAACGAGUCGGUAGCCCGCGAGGUCCAGCAAAUCUUUUAAAGCUUCUUUCAGUUCGGAUUGCAGGUUGCAACUUGCCUGCAUGAAGCCGGAAUCGCUAGUAAUCGCGG
Molecule: ribosomal RNA, 1252 nt
Filed under: Enterococcus faecalis
Lineage: Bacteria; Bacillati; Bacillota; Bacilli; Lactobacillales; Enterococcaceae
Description: bacterial SSU rRNA
Rfam family: Bacterial small subunit ribosomal RNA
Source: RNAcentral